UUCCAUCUUCAGGGCAGGGUGAAAUUCCCGACCGGCGGUAAACAGGCGAUUCGCCUGAAGCCCGCGAGCGAAUAGGGCGCUAUUUGCUGAUUCUGUGUAACUCAGGAGCCGACAGUAUAGUCUGGAUGGGAGAAGAUGGCG
This is a regulatory RNA element of 141 nucleotides. It matches the Rfam family "FMN riboswitch aptamer (RFN element)". From Rfam's summary of the family: The RFN element is a highly conserved domain that is found frequently in the 5'-untranslated regions of prokaryotic mRNAs that encode for flavin mononucleotide (FMN) biosynthesis and transport proteins. This element is a metabolite-dependent riboswitch that directly binds FMN in the absence of proteins. The record is from Rfam.